ACAACACGCCGUCGAGCGGCGGCGGCUGUUGUGGUGCUGCGGGGGCGGAGCGGAGGGCUGGUCGGCACCGGCGCGGCGGCAGGUCCUCGUCGGCCUGCACAGUUGGCAGUAGGAGCGGCGGACCGCAGCCGGCGACAGGGAGCUGCUCGGAGCCGAGACCGCACACAGGUCAGAAGAGGUCAGAAUGGUGCCCGCAGGAGAGAACAAAUGCUCCAACUGCCCGACGGGCUACUACGGCACCAAGGAGUUCACCUUGUGCGGCAUCAUCCUGGCCAUCGUGUUCUUCCCGUUCGGCCUCAUCUGCCUCUGGUGUCUGAGGGACACAAAGUGUAGUGCAUGCGGACACAAGCGGUAGGCGGCGCGCGGCGGAGAUGGGGGGAGAUGUGAGAGAUGGGGAGGGAGGAGAUGGGGAGAUGGAAGAGACGAGGAAAUUGGGAGAUGGAGAGCUAGAGAAAUGGAGAGACGGAGAGAUGGUGAGGUAUGAGACGGGAAAUGGAAAGACGCUGGUGUGAUGGUGAGAUGGAAGGGGUUGAGAUGGGCAAAUGGAGAUAAAGAGAUGGAUAGAUUGUGAGGUGGAGAGACAUCAGAACUCGGGUGGAGAAACGGUGAGAUGGGGGACAGGAAGAAAGACGGUGAGAAGGUGACGGUGAGAGAAAUGGAGCGAUGGAGAGAAGGGGAGAAGGAGAUACGGCGAGAUGGAGAGAUAAAGAGAUGGAAAGAGUCGGAGAUAGAGGAACGGAGGGACGGAGAGACGGUGAGAUGGACAUAUGAAGGUGAGACUGAAAAGGGGAAAUAAAUAGAGACGGCGAGGCAUUUGCCGUGAGGCGACGCGCGCGACAAGAAGCUGUCCACUGCGAAUGGGAAGCUGCCGGGGGAGCGCGGGGGGGGGGGGCGCUUGUAAUUUGUGUAUAAUUGAACAUGUGUGAAAUGUCGAGUGAUGUGUGAGCCAAGACAUCGCUGAGUGUGACCCGACAGAGCAUCUGAGAGAGACAGAGCCCGUGACGGAGAUGACCUGCAAAAACGUUACAUAUGUUGCGCUUCUCCAAAAACGAAUUCCGUGUCUAAAUUACCUCACGCUUGUAGCGACAUAUGCCGGCUAGUCAAUGUGAUCAUAAAGGUCGUAUAGGUAUGGAAACUAUCUUACCACGAUCAUUUUUUAAAGCCCUCACAAAGACCACGGCUGCCGUCAAAUUCUGCGCCGCCCCCACCCCACUGGGGCCCGCGGCGGCCGCCCCAAAAUCACCGCCUUCCGCGAACCCGUCCCGGCGCAGCCACAGGUCGAUACUCGGCCAGUGUUUGUCGGGCGCCUUACUGUCGACUCGGAGCGCGUCGUGUUCCAGCGUGGUCAGGGUCGGCCUGCUUAAAUCGAUAAUCGGAGACCAGUUGACGGGGGGAGUGGCAGCGUGUGCUCUGAGGAAGCAAUAUCGCACGACGCCGCACCAAAAGCCUCAAGGCAGACAAGCGAGUGGCCUUAUUUACCGAUUCGUGAAAAGUGUUCAGACUACUUUUUAAACAAUAUUUUUGUAGGUUGGAACAAACGAGACUGUUCCUAUCAGUCACAGCUCUAUUUGUUUCAUACCACCGUCUGAUGUUCAUCAAAACCGAUUCAAUAAGCUGGGGUGAUAUUAAACCCAAUGUUUUCACAGUUGGCUGUGGGAUAUUGAAGACCUUAUUUUAUAUAACAACUUUGAAAAAUGUUUUACCAAGCAGUCCAAGUCGCUGUUGGCCCUUACGCUUUUGUGUAAUCGAGCGCACACUGAAUGAUGUAAUCGGCUUUUGCAUUGGUGUUCCCGUGAAACAUCGUUGUAUCGUACACGAGAGCAACGACAUAACAACGUUCGUGUCGCUUUGCGUGUGUUUCGUACAAUAAACAUUGCUGUAUAAAA
Molecule: long non-coding RNA, 1886 nt
Filed under: Amphibalanus amphitrite
Lineage: Eukaryota; Metazoa; Arthropoda; Thecostraca; Balanomorpha; Balanidae
Description: uncharacterized LOC122374818
Source: RNAcentral